RNAcentral lists this ribosomal RNA (793 nucleotides) under Pyura australis. RNAcentral describes it as "SSU rRNA". It matches the Rfam family "Eukaryotic small subunit ribosomal RNA", at positions 445 to 1240 of the family's 1831-position model. The record is from RNAcentral. Lineage: Eukaryota; Metazoa; Chordata; Ascidiacea; Stolidobranchia; Pyuridae.
CCAUUCCCGACACGGGGAGGUAGUGACGAAAAAUAACAAUACAGGACUCUAACGAGGCCCUGUAAUUGGAAUGAGUACAUUCUAAAACUUUUAACGAGUAUCCAUUGGAGGGCAAGUCUGGUGCCAGCAGCCGCGGUAAUUCCAGCUCCAACAGUGUAUGCUAAAGUUGUUGCGGUUGAAAAGCUCGUAGUUGGAUCUAGGGCGGGCGCCGCCGGUCCGUCGCAAGGCGUGUCACUGGCGGCGUGUGCCUUGCCUUCGGUUCUCCGUCGGUGCUCUUGACUGAGUGUCGGCGGUGGCCGAUAAGUUUACUUUGAAAAAAUUAGAGUGUUCAAAGCAGGCUGUUCGCCUGCAUAGUGUUGCAUGGAAUAAUGGAAUAGGACCUCGGUUCUAUUUUGUUGGUUUUCGGAGCACGAGGUAAUGAUUAAGAGGGACAGACGGGGGCGUCCGUACUCUGCCGUUAGAGGUGAAAUUCUUGGAUCGGCGGAAGACGAACUACUGCGAAAGCAUUCGCCAAGAAUGUUUUCUUUAAUCAAGAGCGAAAGUCAGAGGUUCGAAGACGAUCAGAUACCGUCCUAGUUCUGACUAUAAACGAUGCCAACUAGCGAUCGGGAGGCGUUACCAUGACGACCUUCCCGGCAGCUUCCGGGAAACCAAAGUCUUUGGGUUCUGGGGGAAGUAUGGUUGCAAAGCUGAAACUUAAAGGAAUUGACGGAAGGGCACCACCAGGAGUGGAGCCUGCGGCUUAAUUUGACUCAACACGGGGAAACUCACCCGGCCCGGACACAGGAAGGAU